RNAcentral lists this long non-coding RNA (893 nucleotides) under Homo sapiens (human). RNAcentral describes it as "non-protein coding lnc-DENND1A-1:2". Lineage: Eukaryota; Metazoa; Chordata; Mammalia; Primates; Hominidae. The record is from RNAcentral.
CAGAGGGAACGGCCUGUGCAAAGGCCUGGAGACACGCGACUGAAGCGCGCCUAACAAUGGCUACCAUGGAUUCGUGGGCAGGCGCCUGUACACUCAAUCCUCACGGCAGCUCCAGGACACUGGAGUUAGUGCUCCUGUCUCACAGGAAAGGAAACGUUGGCUCAGAAAGAUAAGGAAACCGAAGCACAGAGAGGCAGGUCAUCUGGCUGAGGUCACACAGCCACACGGCGAGAGAGCAGUGAAGCUGGAGUUCCAGCAAGCUCCACCUGGCGAGAAUUCAAGCCCUGCCAUGGGCCACCUCUCUGGAGGAAGAGAAAGCCAGCUUCAGACUCUGCCUCUCUCAAUCCUUAUACAAGGCCAGAGAGCGCUUGAGGCUUCCAGGCACUCCUAUGCUUACACACCUUCCAUGGCUCCCAGCUGCCCUCCAGAUAAAGAACAAUCUCCUCAGUGUGGCCCUUGAGGUCCUGUGAUCUGGCCUCUGUCCACCACCAGGGCCCCCCUCCUGGCCAGAUCUCUGAGCCUCGGCCAAGCUGACCUGCUUCUCUCAGGGCCUCAACAGGGCCGAUCUCCAUCCCUGCUGUUCCCUUGGUCCAGCAUGCUGUUCCCCUCUAGUUGCUUCUCCUUACCCUGGGGGCCUCCACUCAAAUGCCACCUCCUCCACUGGCCGGACGCUGCCAUUAACCUGCUCGAGUGCUCUCCCUGCAAAACUCAGCACAGGCUGGGCACAGUGGCUCAUGCCUGUAAUCCCAGCACUUUGGGAGGCCGAGGUAGGAUGACUGUUCGAGCCCAGGAGUUCAAAACCAGCCUGGGCAACAAAGUGAGAUCCUGUCUCUAUUUUUUAAAAAAUUAGCCGGGCGCAGUGGAGCACAACUGUAGUCCCAGCUACUCAGGAG